AGUGAUAUGAGAGGACGCACAGAGAGGGAGGAGCAACACUGUCAAAGAGCAGAACAGAAAAGACCUCCUGCUGUGCUGCAUUCAAUAUCUACAGCAGACCUCAGAUAGUGUCUGUAAGAUGUUCCCUCUGCGUCACGCUGGAGUCUGGCCUUUGUUUCUCUUCAUCCUGAAAGGUGUCAGCUGUGAUGAACUGACUCCAGACCAGACUGCAGAGUUCAGUGUAGAAGGCAGCUCUGUUACUCUGUCCUACAAGUUCUCCAGGACAAUAACUGGUAAUGAUUAUUUCUACUGGUAUCGACAGAAUCCAGGACAAGCUCCAGAGUUCCUCCUCUCACACUCUGCUUCAGGACAAAUACUAGCUGCUCCAACCUCUGGACUGAAGAUCCAAGUGGAGCAGAACCAAAUCCACAUGAUCAUCUCCUCUGCUGCAGUUCUGUAG
Molecule: non-coding RNA, 439 nt
Organism: Pleuronectes platessa (European plaice)
Lineage: Eukaryota; Metazoa; Chordata; Actinopteri; Pleuronectiformes; Pleuronectidae
Source: the annotation of a RefSeq genome assembly